RNAcentral lists this non-coding RNA (103 nucleotides) under Bacillus massilioanorexius. Its description in RNAcentral is "SAM riboswitch (S box leader)". It matches the Rfam family "SAM riboswitch aptamer (S box leader)". Rfam says of the family: The SAM riboswitch is found upstream of a number of genes which code for proteins involved in methionine or cysteine biosynthesis in Gram-positive bacteria. The SAM riboswitch acts at the level of transcription termination control. The record is from RNAcentral. Lineage: Bacteria; Bacillati; Bacillota; Bacilli; Caryophanales; Bacillaceae.
UCUUAUCAAGAGAGGUGGAGGGAAUGGCCCAAUGAAGCCCAGCAACCGGUAUCUAUAUACACGGUGCUAAUUCCAGCAGAAUAUCUAUUCUGUGAAGAUGAGA